Molecule: RNA transcript, 3112 nt
Organism: Ahaetulla prasina
Lineage: Eukaryota; Metazoa; Chordata; Lepidosauria; Squamata; Colubridae
Gene name: myosin-16-like
Exons: 5
Source: RefSeq, a predicted model, not a curated record
UCUGUCUUUCUCUGUCCCUGUCCCUAUCUUUCCCUCUCUCCCCUUCUCUGUGUAUCACUCUGUCUAUGUCUCACUGUGUAUGUCUGCCUGUCUCCCCCACUCUCUCUGUGUAUCACUCUGUGUGUAUCUCUAUCUCCCCCCCCCCCCCUUUUUAUUUUUUCUUUCUGGAAAUCCGGGCUGGCUGAGGAACGAUUGCCAGCUGCAGGAGAGGCUUCCCUUCGGGUGACCCUCCUCUUCUCCCUCCUCCUCUCGCUGUGGUGGAGCCGGAAGGGUGCGCACACAUGGGGAGACCCUCCUCAGCAGCAAAGGAAUGCACGGACGCUUGCUUGAGGGUCUUGACAGGAAACUGCUUCUCUCCUGCACUAAGGCUCUGGUCAUCGCCUUGCCGUGCCCCCCCCCCCCCCAGCUCUUCUGCCGAGCAGAUGGCGCGAGCUCCAGCCGGAAGCCACUUUGCUCCUGCACUAAGGCUCCCGCAAUCCUUUAAGAUCCAGGCUGGCUGUGGAAUGAUUGCCAGCCACGGCAGAGGAUUCCCUCUUUGGCUCAGCCAAAGCGCAGCAAAGGAACAUUGUGGAUUGCGCCCUUCCCUCAAUCUUUUCUUCUCUUCUGAAUCCAUCCUGUGCCUGAAUCCAAGCCAACAUGCCUGACGCUCACCGUCAAGAAGGACGAUGUCCAGCAGAUGAACACAAGUUCUACCAGAUCAGUGAUAUGGCCAACAUGACUUUCUUGAAUGAAGCCAGCAUCCUGGAUAACCUCCGGCAGGGUUACAUUAUGAUGAGGAUCUACACAUAUUCUGGCCUCUUCUGUGUCAUCAACCCUUACAAGUGGCUACCCAUCUAUGGGGCACCUGUGACCCAGAUGCACAAGGGCAGGUAGCAUACAGAGGAGCCUCCUCACCUCUUCUCCAUCUCUGACAAUGCCUACCAUGACAUGCUUAUGGGUGGCAUCUACCCCCUACAAGAAUUUCUAGAAUGUUCAAGGAUAAAUCCGAAAAAUGUUGGAAGUGUCAUCAGACACCUGGAUCAUAUUACCACAUGUGGUGGACAUGCGUUGAAGCAAAAAGAUAUUGGACUAAAAUACACACGUGGUUGGAGAAAAUGAUAAAAAAAUAUUGACUUUAAGCCAGAAGUUUUUUUGUUGGGAAUUAUACCUGAAAUAUAUUAUAUUAGUAGACCAGAGGAAUGCUGUUGAUAUAAUUUAAUUGGACUUCAGUAAAGCAUUUGAUAAAGUAGACCAUAACCUACUACUAGAUAAAGUAGAAAAAUGUGGGUUAGACAGCACUACCACCAGAUGGAUUCAUAACUGGCUGACCAACCACACUCAACAUGUAGUCCUCAACGGAACUACAUCCACAUGGAGGGAAGUAUGCAGUGGAGUACCCCAAGGCUCUGUUUUAGGCCCAGUACUCUUCAACAUCUUCAUCAAUGACUUGGACGUGGGGAUAGAUGGGGAACUCAUCAAAUUUGCAGAUGACACCAAGCUGGCAGGAAUAGCCAAAACUCCAGAAGAUAGGCUCAAGUUACAGAAAGAUCUUGACAGACUUGAACAUUGGGCGCUAUCUAACAAAAUGAAAUUCAACAGUGAAAAAAGUAAGGUUCUACAUUUAGGCAAAAAAAACCAAAAUGUACCGGUACCAUAUAUGUGGUACCUUGCUCAAUAGUAGUACCUGUGAGAGGGAUCUUGGAGUCCUAGUGGAUAACCAUUUAGAUAUGAGCCAGCAGUGUGCAGCAGCUGCUAGAAAAGCCAACACAGUUCUGGGCUGCAUAAACAGAGGGAUAGAAUCAAGAUCAUGUGAAGUGUUAGUGCCACUUUAUAAUGCCUUGGUAAGGCCACACUUGGAAUAUUGCAUCCAGUUUUGGUCGCCAUGAUGUAAAAAAGAUGUUGAGACUCUAGAAAGAGUGCAGAGAAGAGCAACAAAAAUGAUUAGGGGACUGGAGGCUAAAACAUAUGAAGAACGGUUGCAGGAACUGGGUAUGUCUAGUUUAAUAAAAAGAAGGACUAGGGGAGACAUGAUAGCUGUGUUCCAAUAUCUCAGGGGUUGCCACAAAGAAGAGGGAGUCGGGCUGUUCUCCAAUGCACCUGAGGGUAGAACAAGAAGCAAUGGGUUGAAACUGAUCAAAGAAAGAAGCAACUUAGAACUAAGGAGAAAUUUCCUGACAGUUAGAACAAUUAAUAAGUGGAACGACUUGCCUGCAGAAGUUGUGAAUGCUCCAACACUGGAAAUUUUUAAGAAAAUGUUGGAUAACCAUCUGACUGAGAUGGUGUAGGGUUUCCUGCCUGGGCAGGGGGUUGGACUAGAAGGCCUCCAAGGUCCCUUCCAACUCUGUUGUUAUAUUAUAUUAUAUUAUAUUAUAUUAUAUUAUAUUAUAUUAUAUUAUAUUAUAUUAUAUUAUAUUAUAUUAUAUUAUAUACUAGAGAUGUAAAAUACUUGAUUGAAUAUCAUUGUGUUUGCUAAAAAUUGGAAAAACGAGAAAUUACCUUUGCAAGACGAAAUUAUUAGGAAGAUGAUGGAAUGUGCAGAGAUGAAUAAAUUGACAUUCAAAAUUGGAGAACAAGAAGAUAAGCAAUAUUACAAAAUAUGGGAUUUAUUUUAUUAUUAGUUAGAAGGAAAGAUGUUAGAAAAGACCUAGAUUGAAUAAGAGACUUAGAUAAUAUAAAAUAUAUAUACGAAAGAUAUGUCUAUUUUGAGAUUGCACAAGAAGAUAUGUAAACACCCCACCAGCACAUUGUAACUGGUUUGAUGGGUUUUUUAUGUUUGUUUGUUGUUAAAAAAUAAAAAAAAUAAAAAAAAUUUUUGCCUGCUUUGCUGGCUGAGGAACUUGGAAUUGAAAUCCACAAACCUUAAAGUUACUAAGGUUGGAGACCCCUGAUCUAAAAAAUAUAAAUAAAAUAAAAUAAUAAAAUAAAAUAUUUGUGCAGCUUUCUGAGAUUUGGUGUGUUUCUGUAGUGUUUCACUCUAACUGCACAAACACACAAAAUCUCACAAAGCUGUAUGUGGCAUUUUGUGUGUGUGUGUGUGUGUGUGAGUCAGUUGUGUUGUUUUGUGUGUGUGUAAAGUGUGAAAGUUGGUUUUUGAGCUUUUUGUGGCUGUGUGAGGUUCCUGCUUGUUGCAGGG